AUCUGAUAUCAGCUCACGUAUUAUUUGGUCAUGAAGAAUUGGAUUUGAUUAAGUCAGCUGUGUUGAGAAUGUUGCAUUCAUAGGCAUCACACGCCUUUAAUCUAGGGGAAGCAAGCUUCCUGGUUGUGAAUAGCUCUAGGGAGAGGACCACAUGGCAAAGAACAGUUGAGGCCACUUGACAUCAGCCAACAAAGCCUUGAUGCCUGGUGACAGCCAUGUGAGUGAACAUGGAAAUAGACCCUCCCUCAAUUGAGCCUUGAGAUUGCUAUUGUCCCAGCUGAUAUCUUGAUGGCAGCCUUGAGACUUCACAAUGAGGCCUCCAGUGAAACCACAUGCAAAUUCCAGAUCCACAGAAAUGAAAUCUACAUCAUCUGAUAUUAAUAUACAUCACUCCAGCUUUUUUAAUCAGUGUUAUCAUGGUUUCAUGAUUGUAUUCCAAAUGGCCACUGGACAUCUUUAGUGAUAUCUCACAGGCAAAGGAAACAUGGAAUUUUAAAAAUUUUGUCUCACUGGUUUUGGCAUAAUUACCAACAGGUGGUUGGUACACAGUAUGGGUCUGUUAAAUGAAAGUAAGGGGCCCUGAUUAGCGAAAACCAUCUCAUCAAAGAAGAGUGAAGUUGGAGGACUCACGCAUUCCCAGUUUUAAAACUUACUACAAAGCUACAGUGGUCAAAACAGCAUGGUACAAGGGUGUGUGUG
Molecule: long non-coding RNA, 699 nt
Organism: Choloepus didactylus (southern two-toed sloth)
Lineage: Eukaryota; Metazoa; Chordata; Mammalia; Pilosa; Megalonychidae
Exons: 6
Source: RefSeq, a predicted model, not a curated record